ACUGAAUAGAUACCCUGGUAGUCCACGCCCUAAACGAUGCUCACUAGGUGUUGGGGAAGCGAUUCCUUGGUAACCGUAGCUAAACGCGUGAAGUGAGCCGCCUGGGGAGUACGGCCGCAAGGUUAAAACUCAAAGGAAUUGACGGGGACCCGCACAAGCGGUGGAUGAUGUGGAUUAAAUUCGAUGCAACGCGAACAACCUUACCUACCCUUGACAUGUCUGGAAGGCUGCUGAAAGGUGGCUGUGCCCGAAAGGGAACCGGAACACAGGUGCUGCAUGGCUGUCGUCAGCUCGUGUCGUGAGAUGUUGGGUUAAGUCCCGCAACGAGCGCAACCCUUGUCCCUAGUUGCUACGCAAGGGCACUCUAGGGAGACUGCCGGUGACAAACCGGAGGAAGGUGGGGAUGACGUCAA
Molecule: ribosomal RNA, 413 nt
Filed under: uncultured bacterium
Lineage: Bacteria
Description: bacterial SSU rRNA
Rfam family: Bacterial small subunit ribosomal RNA
Source: RNAcentral